Mytilus californianus (California mussel) is the source of this 787-nucleotide long non-coding RNA. RefSeq lists it as uncharacterized. The record is from RefSeq and is a predicted model, not a curated record. The transcript is spliced from 3 exons. NCBI's taxonomy places the organism in Eukaryota, Metazoa, Mollusca, Bivalvia, Mytilida, Mytilidae.
CUUUUUACAAUAUUGGGAUCUUUUCCCACUUACAUGAACAUUCAUACUUUGUUUGUCCAAAACACCAACAAACCCUAGGAAUAUGCAUGAGAUUAAGAGAAGGAAUGUUGGUUGUGCACAACCGUCUCACAAAGGAAGGAUCAAAGCCAGGCAGAGCAGUGCAGUGCCAAUCCAGAUGAGCAGGGCCUUUUUCUAGGUUCUAAACACAAGGGAUUUGCUGAAUUGCAGAGGUGAUUUGUUAAGACACAUACCUUUGAUAUUUGAAAGAACUGUUUACAGAAGACUAUUGAAUUGCACAGGAUUGAUGAUUAAAAGAUUCAACUACAGUUCAAUGAGGCUCAACAUAUUGUGAUGCCAAUAUUGUGCUCUUGAGUAGGAAGAUCAAAAUGAUUGUAGCAAAUGGACAUAAGUAAAUAACGUGCCUUCAAAUUGACCAACAUUUCUGAAGUGAAGGAUGACAACUUAGCCUCUAUUUGUUGGGAAAUUUUAUAGCCAUGUUUGAACCUAAAGAACAGAUAUACAAAACCUGAAUGACAGAUGAAAUAAUAAGACAUGAUAAAUAUAAGAAGACUCUGAACAAUCUGAAAACUGUAAAUUCAGGAAUUACAUGUAUGUGACAGAAGUUUUUAAAAGCAUUUGAAUGUUGAGAUUGGUUGAGUAUCUCAAUGAUAAGAACUUGCAUUCUGAAAUCAGAAUUUGGAAGAGCUUUUCCUGAAUUAACAUAAAUAAAUCUCUAAUUUGGUCAGUUACUUUUAAAAAUAUUAUAAUAAAUGAAUGCAAUAAUUUG